Molecule: ribosomal RNA, 410 nt
Filed under: Priestia megaterium
Lineage: Bacteria; Bacillati; Bacillota; Bacilli; Caryophanales; Bacillaceae
Description: bacterial SSU rRNA
Rfam family: Bacterial small subunit ribosomal RNA
Source: RNAcentral
UCCCCUUCGGGGGACAGAGUGACAGGUNCCCUGCAUGGUUGUCGUCAGCUCGUGUCGUGAGAUGUUGGGUUAAGUCCCGCAACGAGCGCAACCCUUGAUCUUAGUUGCCAGCAUUUAGUUGGGCACUCUAAGGUGACUGCCGGUGACAAACCGGAGGAAGGUGGGGAUGACGUCAAAUCAUCAUGCCCCUUAUGACCUGGGCUACACACGUGCUACAAUGGAUGGUACAAAGGGCUGCAAGACCGCGAGGUCAAGCCAAUCCCAUAAAACCAUUCUCAGUUCGGAUUGUAGGCUGCAACUCGCCUACAUGAAGCUGGAAUCGCUAGUAAUCGCGGAUCAGCAUGCCGCGGUGAAUACNUUCCCGGGCCUUGUACACACCGCCCGUCACACCACGAGAGUUUGUAACACCC